CGCGAAAACUCCGCAAUGCGGGAAACCGUGACGGGGCUACCCCGAGUGCCCCCGAUAAGGGGGCUUUUCCCCGCUGUCAGGAGGCGGGGGAAUAAGCGGGGGGCAAGUCUGGUGUCAGCCGCCGCGGUAAUCCCAGCCCCGCGAGUGGUCGGGACGAUUAUUGGGCCUAAAGCGCCCGUAGCCGGCCCGGGGAGCCUCCCAUUAAAUCGGCGGGCUCAACGCGGGGGCUGGGGGCGAAACCGCCGGGC
RNAcentral lists this ribosomal RNA (248 nucleotides) under uncultured archaeon. Its description in RNAcentral is "partial 16S ribosomal RNA". It matches the Rfam family "Archaeal small subunit ribosomal RNA", at positions 340 to 592 of the family's 1478-position model. The record is from RNAcentral.